AGGCGGGUGCGGACGGAGACAAAGGCUGGCGAGCGGGGAGAGGUCGGAGCCGGAGCCGGAGCCGGGCGAUGUGCGGAGCGCGGAACCCGGGAUGUCUCCGGAUCUGCCCGCACCAGCCGCGCACAGGCUUCCCGAUGAGCACCCUGUUUACCCUCCUCUGGGGUAGCCUGGAUCUUCGGCCUGCCGCACGAGGACAGCGAUGAAGCUGGGCUCCUGCCAACAGACUUCUGGGUCCCACACUACUCUCAGCUGCUACCACUGCAGCCUUCAGGGUCUCUUCCUACUCACCCAUGAAUGUCUACGCCAGAUAAGGAGGAGAAAGAAGAGGGCUCAGGAUGACAAGUUGCAGGAGAUCCAGCAAGCCAGUGCUGCAUGAGAGAACAAACACAGGGCCUGGAGGGUCACUCUUGCAGACAUCCUGGAGAAGGAUAGAGGGGAGAGGGAAAAAAUGCAGGAGAAGGAGAGGGACAUGCAGUAGGACAUGCCUGCGUUUCUCAGACAGCAAACAGAGAUGCUGCAGACUCUGGUGGACUUGCAGGUUCAACAAUCCCAUGCUCACCUUCCUCUGGAGCCCACAGAGAAUUCAAUAUCAGGACCUCCCUUGGCCUGCCCCUGAACAUUCCAUGUGGCAUCAGGGGUCAGUGCAUAGACAAGACAAUCACAGCUUCACAUACACUGACCUGUGAAAGCCCCAGUUGAUGUAUGUGUACCUGAAAUGGAAAUGACUGUUCUUUCCCCUUCAUAAGUUCUGUUUGCUAAAUUUAUUAAGGUUUAUAAAAUUUGAAAUGGUUUUCUUUUGAAUGCUACAGAAUAACAUUUUAUAUUUUUGAACAUAAUUGAUCUUUAUUGGUUCACAACAUAUGCUGGCUGAUACAGAUCAGUUCUGAAAGUGACCAAUUCCCAGUUACUGCACUGUGUCACACAACUCAUAACAUCAUUCACAAACAAAAUUAAUAGGUCCAUUGACAAUGCAAUACUCCUACAUAUACAGCAAUCAGCACAAGAUUCAGACUAGGCUGCAAAAGAGCAAGGCCAGGUAAAGCACACUGCAGCAACACACAUUACUCUGGCUUGCUAUUAAAAUGGUCUUUCAAAGCCUCACUGAGAUGUAUAGCUCCACGUUGAUCUCUUCUAAUAGCCCUUGUAUCUGAUUGUUCAAAUUCAGCAGACAGCCGCUCCACCUUUACCAUCCACCUGGUGGAAACUUUCCCCCCUUUGCUUCACACAUAUUAUGUAGGACACCGUGGGCAGCUAUAACCAUUAGGAUAUUUUUCUCACUGAGGUCCAAUCUGGUAAAUAAACUACGCCAGCGACCCUUCAAAUGACCAAAGGCUCAUUCUACUGUCAUUCCACCAAAGCCAUCAAGCAUUGCAAAAUCUUUCAAAAAGACCCUGUGCUGGAUAGUGGCGAGUUCUCCAGUGAGAUACCUACCCAUGGUGCACUUCACUCUGCAUCAGUACAAGUGCUCUUGGUGAGUGCAAGCACCGCCAGCGCUGGCCUUAGGCAUGGGUGAAUGGGGUGCAAGCCCGGGCACUGUUACAAAUGGGGCACCUCCGGAGCAGGGGUGCCCCUCCCCCUGCUGGCAUCUUCAACCCCAUGGCUCCUGCCCCCUGUCUUGGAGCUGCCCCUAGCCAGCUGCUCCCAGGAACUUCCUGUCUGCUGUAAAGGGGCGGGGAGGGGCUCUGAUGUCAGGCUGCCUCCACCCCCCCCCCCCGCCCAUGUACCCUGUCUCCACAGAGCGGGGGCGGGUGUGUGUGUGAGGACAGGGCUCACCAAGAGAGGGACGGAGCUGCUGGUGGCUACUGCUGUAUCUGAAGGAGCUUUCCUUCAGACUCUUGAGUGCAGCUCUCUUCAAGGGGCAGCACGCGGUCUCUCACACACUCCCCCAGCUCACACAUGCCGGCAGCUCACAAAUGCUGUCUCUUUCACACUCAUCGCCCCCCAACACAUACUUAUAUUGUUGUUUGUACUUGUUGGUACUUCCUGCAAUACACAUAUAGUCUCUGUAAUUUUAUUCUUUCAAAGUGCUGUUAUUUUAGUUUUUUGACUGGUCUGUGCAUUUCAUAAUUUUAUUUCUUUCUUAUGCUUACAUUGAAUUCUUUGAGUAGUGAGUUCUAAAAUGCCUAACCUGUCCUCGUUGGAGUAAUUAUAAUUAUUACUGUUAUUAUCAUAUUGUGCUUUGUCAUUCAUUAUUUAAAGUGGUACAAGCAAAUAAUAGUAUCCUCCUAGAAUGCACCUUUAGCUUGUACUCAUUUAGUAAUGCCAGUUUAAAAAACAUUAGCUAAACACAUAACUUUAGACACUGGGCAGAUGAAGGUGGCUUAUGUUCAAAUUAUAUUUUUAGUUAUAUCUGUAAAAUAGCUUAAAAUUUGCAUGAAAAUAAACGCAGUUCCAGCUCUGAUAUCAACAGCAAUGAUGGAGUCAAAUGUUAGUGAGUCACAGACAUGAUUGUGAUCAGUAAACAUAGAUGCCGAGAUAAUUAGAAAAAUUAAUUCCCUUUCUUAAUAAAAGAGAAAAAAACCCUUACUCACACAUGUUGAAAUAUGUUUUAAAUGAACAACAAUUGACUAGAACAGAGGAGAUAAUGGCAGUAACACAGUGUUUCUGUUAGAGAAGGUAAGCAGAUUAUAUUUAUUUUUAUUUAUCUCCACUAAAGAUAGUGAACUGACACCUCAAGGCUUGGGAUGGGGAAUAUCUUGCUGUAUUAUCUCCUGAUUGUUCUAAAUUUACAUAUAAACUUUAAACGUGGCUUUAAUUGGCAUUUGUA
Caretta caretta (loggerhead turtle) is the source of this 2767-nucleotide long non-coding RNA. RefSeq lists it as uncharacterized. NCBI's taxonomy places the organism in Eukaryota, Metazoa, Chordata, Testudines, Cheloniidae. The record is from RefSeq and is a predicted model, not a curated record.